GUGACAUCUUUAUUCUUUCUGAUUAUAUUAUUGGGAAUAUUUACAAUUUAUCAUGGCAAUGUGGUAUUAACUAAUCGGACUACAAAUGAGAGGUAUAAAGCUGCAGAAUUGGACCCAAUCAAAAUUGACUCAAAUAGACUCUCGAGCAAUAAAUCUAAGUUGCAAGCAGGCAGGAAGUUAAACAAGAAUGUCAAAACAGUUGAGAAUUUAUAUGAUAAAGGAAUAAUAGGGAAUAUAUAUGACACAUUUUGGCACAGAAGUAUAGUGAAGAAAAUAAAAUUUAGAUAAAGUACAAUAUAAUGAUUUAAUGUUUUGCCUGAUAUACAGUCAAACAUGUAUAUGAAGGUCAGGAAUAUUGGGACCACAGAAAACUGACCAUAUUAGAGAGGUAACCAUUUUAAUAAG
Molecule: long non-coding RNA, 405 nt
Filed under: Mytilus galloprovincialis (Mediterranean mussel)
Lineage: Eukaryota; Metazoa; Mollusca; Bivalvia; Mytilida; Mytilidae
Source: RNAcentral